AUUGAACGCUGGCGGCAGGCCUAACACAUGCAAGUCGAACGAGUGGCGGACGGGUGAGUAAUUUCUGGGAAACUGCCUGAUGGAGGGGGAUAACUACUGGAAACGGUAGCUAAUACCGCAUACCACCAGAUGUGUCCAGAUGGGAUUAGCUAGUCGGUGGGGUAACGGCUCACCAGGGCGACGAUCCCUAGCUGGUCUGAGAGGAAAACCAGCCGCACGGGAGCUAAGACACAGGCCAGACUCAUACAGGGGACAGCAGUGGGGAAUAGUACACGAUGGGCGCAAGCCUGAUGCAGCCAUGCCGCGUGUAUGAAGAAGGCCAUCGGGUUGUAAAGUACUUUCAGCGGGGAGGCGUUACCCGAAGAAGAAGCGCCGGCUAACUCCGUGCCAGCAGCCGCGGUAAUAC
RNAcentral lists this ribosomal RNA (406 nucleotides) under uncultured bacterium. RNAcentral's name for it is "partial 16S ribosomal RNA". It matches the Rfam family "Bacterial small subunit ribosomal RNA", at positions 29 to 526 of the family's 1533-position model. The record is from RNAcentral.